Molecule: long non-coding RNA, 2330 nt
Organism: Hemicordylus capensis (graceful crag lizard)
Lineage: Eukaryota; Metazoa; Chordata; Lepidosauria; Squamata; Cordylidae
Exons: 3
Source: RefSeq, a predicted model, not a curated record
GGGACUGGGGAGGAGGGGAACUCUCAAGCACCAGGUGGCUCCGGGCUAAUCCCGUAAAUGCGCGAAGAGGUACUCACGCUGAUUUAAAGGGGCAGGGCAAGCCCGGCUCAAAGGAAAAGGCAACGGGUGUUAAAGCAGGACAAUGAACCGAGCCUCAGGGCAGCGCAGCAGCUUCCGAACAACUGAAUCUCGGCACGGAAUUCUGAGGCGGGGAAGGGCGAAAUGGCCACAACAGCCCUCAGAAAAAGCAGGCACGCUCCCGACCCCCACCCCGAAACCGCGCAGAAGAGCCGUCGCACCCUCUCCCUGUGUUGUUCUGCUCAAGCGACAGAAACCGCCGCGCACUCGCGCCCAAUAUCCGCCCCCCCCCCGCGCGCGCAGUAUCCAACGCACGUUCAAAAAGCAGAUACAGACCUCUCGGUGCCCCCUCAAUAUCCCACACAGGAAGCAGAAAUUGCCCCACGUACACAAUCCCUUCCUUAACCCGACGGGGAAGCGCUAAUACAGGCGCAAAAGCCACUGUCCUGCACAACCCCUUGGGUGACCCACACAGGAAACCUCAUCAGAGUCCCGUACAGGAAACGGUGAACCCACCCCCGGCAUCCUCUCAGCCGCUCAGACAUGGGACGAUAGAGAGUCCCCUCACGCCUCAAGGAGGCAGCCGGCGGUUCCCUCAGUAGUCCACCCACAGGAAGUGAAAGAGGAACCCAGCACGUUGUCCAUCACACCUUCAGCGUUUUCCCCAGGAAACACAAAGAUCCUCACAAAAGAUCACGGCUGCAGGACCCCACGCUAUGGUUAACCGUUGCUACUACAGCACUUGUGCAGGGCGACCCAAAAACACAUUUAUUCAGAAGGCGAUCGCACAGCUUCCUAAUGAGUAAGCUCCGCUGAAUACAGUGGCACUUACUUACGAGUAAACAUGUCAAGGCUUGCACUGUGCGUUCAGUAAAACUUGUUCCUUCGCAAGUGUACUUAAGAAAACAGCCUUAAUAUGCAAAGAGUUUUACAGUCUUUCUUUUGUUCCCUUUCACAACAACCCCGUGAAACACGUCCUUUGCAUACUCACUUUACAAAGGAGGAACCGAGGCCAAGAAAUUUGCUCAAAGCCACACUGACGGAAAGAACAUUUGAACCCACAUCAAUCAAAGGCGAUCACCCCACCCCACCCCACCCGUUCUUUAACAUGUUCAGCUCUCACAUUCUCCAACUGGGUCAGUUACCUGAGAAGCACCAAGUCCUUCUACUCGGGAUAAUUUAAGGAGAAGGUUCAGAGGACAUUGCAGAGGAGUCCAAGUCCUGGGAGGAGGAGGGGGACUGACCCCUGCGCUUGCCGUGCUUUCUAAGAGGGCGAUGUUUUUCAAGUGCCUGGCUUAAUACAGAGGAAAACCAGAGACGCCAGGGCUCAGUAUGGCAUGUCUAUACCAGAAAAAUACAGAAAACAGCCAAGAAGCAUCCACUAUGCAGCAACAAAAAAGAGACCAAGUCUCAUUCAAGAUGCUUGCAAACUUUAAUGAGCCCAAAGCAUUUCAGUCAAUGGCCUUCCUCAGGGGCAAAUUUGUUUGAACCAAAUGUUCCAACAAGUUAAAAAUGGACCUUACUCCUAUACAACUGUGCGCAGGAUUGAAGUAUAAAUACUAAAUGUAUUCGUAUAAUAUGCAAGUCUCUAGACUAUUUUGUCUUCUAUGGUGAACAGAUCUUAUAUAGGAGUCAAGUUGCCACUGCUCAUUUAUAUAGGGAAAAGGUGUUUCUCAAAAACACAAUAUGGAGAAAUGGUAACAAAUGGGCUUUUCUCUCAGGAUGUAUGAGAUUUGAUGUUACUUUUUGGGUGGAUAGGAUUGAGUCACUUAAUAAUCCACUGAAAUCACAAUUAAAAAACCUACAUUAAAAAUGCAAACAUAUACUAGGAGCUCAGCAUGUUUUCAAUAUGUUGUACCAAACAAAAGAGGUGAUUUGGCCUGAGGUAUAUAUUUGAUUCUUGUGCAUACAUUCUACUAUUUUAUCUUUACAGACAACUAUCUAACUUGGGAAGAACUUACCUCAUUAUUAAUAUCAAAGACUCCUUCCUGUAUUUUCUCAUAGAUUUCCUUUGCUGUAUUAAUAAAUGCCUGAAAGAGCAAAUUGUGAAAUUUGAGACAAACCAAAACAUGGAUACAGAUGUACAAUAGAAGCACUAAUUUCUUCUCCCGUGGAGGCUACAGUGUGUUAUCCCAGAGCAGAUAUCUGCACACCUACACAUGCAUAUUCCUCUAUAACUCCAGAGGUAACUGCAGCUUCCUGGGUCCCACUCUACCCUAUGCUACUUCUUCACAUACAUUUAUGAUCAACAG